AUACGUUUGACAGCACUGCCAUCAUUUUAGUUCACUGAUAUACAUACCGUUUUUCAGUCUACUUCAAGUUUGCUUAAUAUUUAUUGGUUAGAAGUGUUAUGUUAAAAAUGGAGACCCCAAGCGAGUUUACCGAAAAGCAGCCACCCACUCAUGACCACCAGCCUCGUCUGAAUGAGGUGGCACAAAAGUUUCUGGCCGAUUUGGACGAGGAGCGUCAGCGUUUGUCCGCGGAGUUUCCACUAUGCGCACUGCUAAUCGACGAAGCUGUGGACCGUGUCUACUGCACUGGUCGUAUUCCCGGCAAGGAGUUCUACGCGGACGUGUACAAGCAGAAGCCGAUGAAGAUAACCCAGAAGGUCUUUGUGCCCGUUAAGCAGUAUCCCAAGUUCAACUUCACUGGGAAGAUCCUGGGACCCAAGGGCAACUCGCUGCGUCGUCUUCAGGAGGAGACCCAGUGCAAGAUUGCCAUUAAGGGUCGCAGUUCGAUACGCGAUCGCAACAAAGAGGAGCAGCUGCGCAGCACUGGCGACCCGAGAUAUGCCCAUCUUCAGAAGGAUCUCUUUCUGGAGGUCAGCACGGUGGCCACACCGGCGGAGUGCUAUGCCCGCAUAGCGUACGCCCUGGCCGAGAUCCGUAAGUAUCUUAUUCCAGACAAGAACGACGAGGUUUCGCAUGAGCAGCUGCGCGAGCUAAUGGAAAUGGAUCCCGAGUCGGCCAAGAGCAUUCACGGACCCAAUCUGGAGGCCUAUAGAUCUGUCUUCGACAAGAAGUUUGGUGGCAGCAGCAAUGGGGCGCCCAAGUACAUCAACUUAAUUAAGCGAGCUGCGGAAAAUCCGCCCGAAGUCGAUGAUGUAGAGGAGGUGGCCUAUGAGUAUGAACAUCGUAUGCCUCCCAAGCGUCCCACUACGGGCUAUGAGUACAGCAAACGUAAGUGGAACCCAAGCAUGCAUUCUUAAUUUGUUUCUUAGUGCCGGGGCCUAUUACACUCCCCCAUUUUGAGGGGAUGCACCUUUGAUUUGAAUCUUGGGUCACAGAAUAGAUUAUAGUAUCAAAACCGAUAACAGUGAAUGAGCAAGAUCUUGAAACAAACUAUAUAACACUCUGGAAUGAUUAAUAUUAAAGAACAAACCACUUCCUAUACACGUCCAUCAAUAAUACCGACAAACGCAGCGGCAUAUAAACGUCCAUAUCCGACUGACAUGAAACGUAUGCGCGAACCGCCCAUCA
RNAcentral lists this unclassified non-coding RNA (1227 nucleotides) under Drosophila yakuba. RNAcentral's name for it is "kep1". The record is from RNAcentral. Lineage: Eukaryota; Metazoa; Arthropoda; Insecta; Diptera; Drosophilidae.